Molecule: long non-coding RNA, 895 nt
Organism: Asterias rubens (European starfish)
Lineage: Eukaryota; Metazoa; Echinodermata; Asteroidea; Forcipulatida; Asteriidae
Exons: 6
Source: RefSeq, a predicted model, not a curated record
UGCAAGUCUGAACUUGUUUGGAAUCAACAUGUGUCGGCCUCAAAGAAAAACAUAAAGUCACUGAGCGAAAAGUCAGCGACUUUUGUUAUGUACACGGUGCAUUAUGCAGCAUGCAUGAAAUGUGAAUUGUUCUGGAAGUAUCGAAAGAUUCAAUGUGGUUUUAUUUCUACCUCCAUGGUUUAUUACAUAGGUUUUGCAACAACAGUUAUUAUCCAGAGAUGUAGAAGUUAGAACCGCGGAGGGGCCGGAACUUAUGGAACAUCUUCACGAUAAUUUGGUUCCAGUGAUGGGGGAGUGCAACCUGAGUGCUGAGGCAUGCCUUUCUGAAUUCCAAGCCAUCCGGAUCUCUGGACCCCAGGGGCUAAAUUCUUGUUAAGGAUCAGAGAUCCAUCUGCUGGGUCAUUGUAAACAAGCCAUCAUAAUACACUGUACUUCCUAGAAGUCUCUUGAGGCUGCGCCAACAUAGAGAAAGAUGGUCUCAAGAACGUUCUUCACAAAGAGCCAGAAGUUUUAUACAUCUUCCUCCUUCACUCAGACUGUAGGCUCUUUGCCUUGGAAAGGAACAAAGACCAUCUGGAUUUCAAGAAGAACCUGUUGCUCCUUUUCCCACAACUUGCAGCAUCGGGUAUUUCAAUUCUCAAGAACAUCAUGAAAAACAACCCAACCAGGCUAUAAGGGUAUCAACCUCUUCAAGCUUGGUAUAUGUACCUGUAGAAGUUAGAUUUCGUAUUGAACUGCCGCAGAUAGUAACUAGCACCGUUAACUAACACAUGAACUAUUGAGGUAUGCUUGUAUGAUGGCUAUAGGAGUGUACAAGAUAUUGACUCCACUGCUUGAUGCUGACGUUUUGAAACAUGCUAAGAAGUUUCUGUCUGAGUUGGAUUUUUUAAAGGUG